Molecule: ribosomal RNA, 443 nt
Filed under: uncultured bacterium
Lineage: Bacteria
Description: partial 16S ribosomal RNA
Source: RNAcentral
GACUACUGGGGUAUCUAAUCCUGUUUGCUACCCACGCUCUCGUCCCUGAGGGUCAGUUGCAGGCCAGCAGACCGCCUUCGCCAUCGGUGUUCUUCCAGAUAUCUACGCAUUCCACCGCUACACCUGGAAUUCCGUCUGCCCAUCCUGCACUCCAGCCCGCCCGUACCCGCCGCAGGUUCAGGGUUGAGCCCUGAAAUUUCACGGCGGGCGUGGCAGGCCCCCUGCGGACCCUUUACGCCCAGUAAAUCCGAAUAACGCUCGCCACCCACGUGUUACCGCGGCUGCUGGCACGUGGUUAGCCGUGGCUUCCUUUCCCGGUACCGUCAUUUGUUUCGUCCCGGGUGACAGAGGUUUACGACCCGAAGGCCUUCUUCCCUCACGCGGCAUCGCUCCGUCAGGCUUGCGCCCAUUGCGGAAGAUUCUCGACUGCAGCCCCCCGUAGG